RNAcentral lists this unclassified non-coding RNA (306 nucleotides) under Ascomycota sp. RNAcentral's name for it is "partial contains small subunit ribosomal RNA, internal transcribed spacer 1, and 5.8S ribosomal RNA". The stretch from base 1 to 47 matches the Rfam family "Eukaryotic small subunit ribosomal RNA", at positions 1785 to 1831 of the family's 1831-position model. Lineage: Eukaryota; Fungi; Ascomycota. The record is from RNAcentral.
AAAGUCGUAACAAGGUUUCCGUAGGUGAACCUGCGGAAGGAUCAUUAAAAAAAAAAGGAUGUGCUCCGCGCAUAACUCCUCUCACACCCCCGGCGCGUAAAAGAGGCCGGGGGUUGAAUGAGUCCCUUAACCCUUUGUGAACUUUAUACCUUAUGCUUCGGCAGCGCGCUCCCUCCCUUUGCGGGGGGUGGAGUUGGUAAGGCUGCCGAUAGCCCUUUUAUAAACCAUUUUAUUUCAAAUCGUGAAGUCUGAUUACUGUUAAAUUUAAACAAGUUAAAACUUUCAGCAACGGAUCUCUUGGUUCUC